CAGUCGCCGCGGUAAUACGUAGGUGGCAAGCGUUGUCCGGAAUUAUUGGGCGUAAAGGGCUCGCAGGCGGUUUCUUAAGUCUGAUGUGAAAGCCCCCGGCUCAACCGGGGAGGGUCAUUGGAAACUGGGAAACUUGAGUGCAGAAGAGGAGGGUGGAAUUCCACGUGUAGCGGUGAAAUGCGUAGAGAUGUGGAGGAACACCAGUGGCGAAGGCGACUCUCUGGUCUGUAACUGACGCUGAGGAGCGAAAGCGUGGGGAGCGAACAGGAUUAGAUACCCCCGUAGUCCCUGUCUCUUAUAU
This 301-nucleotide ribosomal RNA is filed under the name uncultured bacterium. Its description in RNAcentral is "partial 16S ribosomal RNA". It matches the Rfam family "Bacterial small subunit ribosomal RNA", at positions 509 to 809 of the family's 1533-position model. The record is from RNAcentral.